RNAcentral lists this ribosomal RNA (550 nucleotides) under uncultured bacterium. RNAcentral's name for it is "bacterial SSU rRNA". It matches the Rfam family "Bacterial small subunit ribosomal RNA", at positions 355 to 896 of the family's 1533-position model. The record is from RNAcentral.
UAGGGAAUCUUCGGCAAUGGACGGAAGUCUGACCGAGCAACGCCGCGUGAGUGAAGAAGGUUUUCGGAUCGUAAAGCUCUGUUGUAAGAGAAGAACGAGUGUGAGAGUGGAAAGUUCACACUGUGACGGUAUCUUACCAGAAAGGGACGGCUAACUACGUGCCAGCAGCCGCGGUAAUACGUAGGUCCCGAGCGUUGUCCGGAUUUAUUGGGCGUAAAGCGAGCGCAGGCGGUUAGAUAAGUCUGAAGUUAAAGGCUGUGGCUUAACCAUAGUACGCUUUGGAAACUGUUUAACUUGAGUGCAAGAGGGGAGAGUGGAAUUCCAUGUGUAGCGGUGAAAUGCGUAGAUAUAUGGAGGAACACCGGUGGCGAAAGCGGCUCUCUGGCUUGUAACUGACGCUGAGGCUCGAAAGCGUGGGGAGCAAACAGGAUUAGAUACCCUGGUAGUCCACGCCGUAAACGAUGAGUGCUAAGUGUUGGAGGGUUUCCGCCCUUCAGUGCUGCAGCUAACGCAUUAAGCACUCCGCCUGGGGAGUACGACCGCNAGGUUG